This is a non-coding RNA of Caenorhabditis elegans, 150 nucleotides long. The record is from Ensembl. NCBI's taxonomy places the organism in Eukaryota, Metazoa, Nematoda, Chromadorea, Rhabditida, Rhabditidae.
AUCAUGAUUUUCUAUGAAUGAUGAUCCUCUUCCUCCUUCUCCUUCUUCUACAAUCCUAUUACGAGAGGCGGCCCAUAAACCGCCACAGCUUAUCGCGCAUCAUCUCUUCGUUAAUUGGAUUAUGGCAUAAAUACAUACAAUCGACAGAAU